GGCUUAUUGGUAAAAGAUUUUAAGUCUAGCCUGCUCUCUGAUAUAUUUAAUUAAAUGGCCGCAGUAUUUUGACUGUGCUAAGGUAGCAUAAUAAUUAGUUUUUUAAUUAAAAGCUGGUAUGAAUGGUAUUAUGAGAAAAUUACUGUCUCUAUUAAAAAGUUAAAAUUUUAUUUUUAAGUUAAAAAGCUUAAAUAUUAUUAAAAGACGAGAAGACCCUAUAGAAUUUUAUUUAAAUUUAUUUCUAAUAACAAAGUAUUUAAAAUGUAAAAAUAAGUUUAUAUUUAGUUGGGGUGAUUAGAAAAAUUAAGUAUCUUUUUUUUAUAAUAACAUUGAUUUAUGAUUAUAUGAUUCAUAUUAAUGAUUUAAGAAUAAAUUACCUUAGGGAUAACAGCGUAAUUUUUUUUUAGAGUUCUAAUCAAAAAAAAAGAUUGCGACCUCGAUGUUGGAUUAAAAUUUAUUUUUGGUGUAGUAGCUAAAAAAUUAAGUCUGUUCGACUUUGGAAAUUUUACA
This 510-nucleotide ribosomal RNA is filed under the name Plateumaris amurensis. RNAcentral describes it as "partial 16S ribosomal RNA". The stretch from base 384 to 510 matches the Rfam family "Bacterial large subunit ribosomal RNA", at positions 2473 to 2600 of the family's 2925-position model. The record is from RNAcentral. Lineage: Eukaryota; Metazoa; Arthropoda; Insecta; Coleoptera; Chrysomelidae.